GGGCGCUUAGCUCAGUUGGGAGAGCAUCGCCCUUACAAGGCGAGGGUCACAAGUUCAAGUCUUGUAGCGCCCACCA
Molecule: transfer RNA, 76 nt
Filed under: Candidatus Pseudothioglobus singularis PS1
Lineage: Bacteria; Pseudomonadati; Pseudomonadota; Gammaproteobacteria; Pseudothioglobaceae (SeqCode)
Also listed under: 31 other names
Description: Candidatus Thioglobus singularis PS1 tRNA-Val
Rfam family: tRNA
About the family: Transfer RNA (tRNA) molecules are approximately 80 nucleotides in length. Their secondary structure includes four short double-helical elements and three loops (D, anti-codon, and T loops).
Source: RNAcentral